Molecule: long non-coding RNA, 2041 nt
Organism: Canis lupus familiaris (dog)
Lineage: Eukaryota; Metazoa; Chordata; Mammalia; Carnivora; Canidae
Exons: 4
Source: RefSeq, a predicted model, not a curated record
CAGAUGUGAGGGAUGCGAUUGGACAACCAUUAUGACAUCGGUCUGCACAUCCGGAGGACUGGCCUUCCUUCUGUCCAAGGCAAAAAUCCAGACAUGAUCUCAUCAGAGCCACUCCCUGGAGGGAAUCGGGAGACAUAGGACUGUUUCAUCCCAUUUUCAGAUUGUGAAACUGAGGAAUGAGAGGAGCUUAAUAAGGGUUCUCCUACUGUGGUGCCCUUUCCACUCAUGUUGACCCAAACAAUGGUUGUUCUUCCUAAUGUGUUGUGGUCUCGUGGGAAGCUUCAUGAGUGUCAGUGAUGAGCUGGGACUGAAGGAAUAGAACAAAGACGUUCGGUUCUGGCUGUGUGCCACCCAGGUUUGACUGAGUAACCAAAAGGUCUCUGCUGCCUGGAUUAUUUGCUGAUGUCUCCAAGGGAAGAAGAUACACAGACAGAGCUGGGCUGGGUUUCUUGUCUGAAGAGCUGCUCCCACUCCCAGCUCCACUGUGAGCUACGUGUGUGACCUCAGGGAGAUGUGUCAGCAAACCCAGACUCUGUUUCCUCACUGUAAAGAGAAGGUUAAAAGCCUCUACUGUUGGAUGAUUGCGAGGUUAGGUGAGACAUCAUGUGCAAAAUCACUCUGUAAACUGUGAAGUGCUGUGCCAGUGGUAGUAAUUACUCUUCGUCAUCCCUAGAGUCGGUUUUUCAGCUCACCUGUUUCCUUCAUUGCCUGGCAGCUUUCCUACCUGGGGCAUGUGACUAGGACUGAAAUGCUAGGGAGCCCAGAAAAUCUACUUCCCAGCAAGAGCUGUAAAACAUCCCAUCCUAAUUGAGAGAGACAAAGGAGAACAAUGAGUCAGAGGAGCUCCAGGGGAGCGGCCCGCUCCGACAAGAGGCUUUGCUGAGGCUCCUCUGGCCUUACAACGUCUUACAUGGGUGUGCCAGGGAAUGAAGGCGAGCAGACCCGUGGAAAUCGAUUUGGAACCGGAUCAAUCCCAUCCUCGACUUUGCCAUCCCUCUCUCAGAAUUAUAAACAUAAGAUGAUUACAGCACACUUCCUGCAUGUGCCUUCCAUGUGGCUCCAGUGUCAGCCUCACAAACGCAGGCGAGUAAACACUCCUGGUGCAGCUCUGAGGCCUCGCCCCUCUGGUUUGCUCUUGAGCAGGGAGAGGCUGGGAGGAUGGGCCCCGGGGUACGUCUGCCCUGGGAGGUACCAGCCUUCUCCCUUCUGGUGGCAGAGGAGUCAUCCUGCCUUCAGGGCUUUGCAUGUUGGGGUGGCAUUGGGGAGCUACAAAGGAGGCUGGGAAAUGUUUUCUUUUCUUUCUUUCUUUUUAAAAAAAUCUCUUUCGCUCCAGCCCAUUCCUGGAAAACCACAAUCCCCCCGCCUCCCCCAAGCAGUCUCCAAGUCCUUCAGUUUUGAAAAACACACAUUUUCUCUGCUACCCCUUGCUCCUGUGGAUGUUUCGAGCCACAAUUACUUUUCAGUGUAAAUGAGUAUGAGGCUGAGGCUUUCCUUAAUGUGUUAGGAUGCCAGGCCCCUGUGGUUUGACACCACCAAAAUAGACAAAUUGUUAACUUGAUGGUUUUUCGGCAAUUUUCUCCCCUCUCCCGGAUCUCAAAUGAAUCUCAUUCCUAAGGAACUGACCAAGGAACUCUGACCUCUUGCCUCAACUGCUUAAAGGCCUCUAGUACUUUUUUUCCUUGGCCUGCUACUCUCUUGAUAUCAGAAGGUGAACUGAACUUCAAAGGGCAAUAGGCCAGAUGUCUUGUUUCCCCCACGAAGGGCUGGUUUCCUCUCAUUUGUCUGCAUUCCAUGUGCGUGAUUUCAGGUUGGUAUCCAUUUCGCCUGGGCCCCCACUCUGCAGGGCAGUGACUUGGGUUAUUUGCUGGUCCUGAUGCUGCAGGGAUUUGACAAAGUUCCGUUAUCCAUGCUGCUUGGUGUGAGUGUGUGCAUGCAUGUGUGUGUUCUCCGGCAGCACCAGCAGCCCCUGGGGCCGGCACUCUAGUUUAGCAGCCACAAUUCAUUCACACGGUUCAUGUUGAUUCAUACUGAGUGCUUGAAA